Molecule: ribosomal RNA, 447 nt
Filed under: uncultured bacterium
Lineage: Bacteria
Description: partial 16S ribosomal RNA
Rfam family: Bacterial small subunit ribosomal RNA
Source: RNAcentral
AGCGAACGCUGGCGGCAGGCUUAACACAUGCAAGUCGAGCGCCCCGCCAGGGGAGCGGCAGACGGGUGAGUAACACGUGGGACCGUGCCUUUUGGUUCGGAACAACCCAGGGAAUCUAGCGCUAAUACCGGAACAGCCCUUACGGGUAAAGAUUUAUGGUCAAACGAUCGGCCCGCGUCUGAUUAGCUAGUUGUGGGGGUAAUGGCCCACCAAGGUUACGAUAAGUAGCUCGUCUGAGAGGAUGAUCAGCCACAUUGGGACUGAGACACGGCCCGAACUCCUACGGGAGGGAGCAAUGGGGAAUAUUGGACAAUGGGGGCAACCCUGAUCCAGCCAUGCCGCGUGAGUGAUGAGGGCCUUAGGGUUGUAAAUCUCUUUUAGCAGGGAAGAUAAUGACGGUACCUGCAGAAGAAGCCCCGGCUAACUACGUGCCAGCCGCCGCCGUAA